UCAGUGGGAACAUGGCUCUCAUAACAUUAUUUUCUUACUUCUAACUUCCAGAUGAUGAAUGUUUAUAGUUUUAAAUCAUCAAUUUUGUGAGUACUUUGUUAUCACCGCCCUCAAAAAACAAUACAAUGGGGAAUAGGAUUGAUGCAGUAUACUGCAGUAUCUCCAAAUACAUAAAAGCAGAGGUUGCCAGGAAGACAGCACAUUGGAUGCUGUGUUGUCCUUCAGUUAUCCCGAUCAUGGAAAGCUGUUAAAGAGAUCAUGAAGUUUGAGUGGCCCUGGUAAGAGAAGGCAAGACCCUCACAAACUCUUCUGUCUGAAGCUUUUAUUUCCCUGACCAAUUAAUUAUGGGUGUUAUCUUAACCAAUCAUGUACAAAGCUAUGAAUGUAUUUUAGCCUACUUUGAGUGUUUUUUUUUUAUUCUUUGAUAUGGUUUGAAUAUUUGCAUUCAGUCCAAGACAUGCUGGUACUUGGUCCCAAUGCAACAGUAUAAAGAGGUAGGCCUUUUGGGGGACUCUUGAGGGUUCCCAACACUAGUAUUUUUAUAGAAGCUCUGAAGGAAACUAGCUAGGUUCUGUUUACCUUUCCAUUUCUUUAGCCAUGUGAGGACCUCUCUCCUUUGAAGCACCCUUCUCCUCUGGAAGAUGUAGCAACAAGGCACCAUUUCUGGGAGCAGAAAGUCUGGGCCCUCAGUGACACUGAACCUGCUUGCACGUAGAUGUUGACUGUUAGCCUCUGGAACUACAAGAAAUAAAUUUCUGCUGUUUAUAAAUUAUCUUGUCUCAGCUAUUUUAUUAUAUCAGUAUGUAAACUAAUAAGCAGAAAAACCUAAAAUUCCUGUCCUA
Molecule: long non-coding RNA, 842 nt
Filed under: Cavia porcellus (domestic guinea pig)
Lineage: Eukaryota; Metazoa; Chordata; Mammalia; Rodentia; Caviidae
Description: lncRNA (ENSCPOG00000033477.1)
Source: RNAcentral